GAUGAAGAACGUAGCGAAAUGCGAUAAGUAAUGUGAAUUGCAGAAUUCAGUGAAUCAUCGAAUCUUUGAACGCACAUUGCGCCCCUUGGUAUUCCGAGGGGCAUGCCUGUUCGAGCGUCAUUAUAACCCCUCAAGCUCAGCUUGGUGUUGGGGCCUGCUGCACUGGCAGCCCUUAAAAUCAGUGGCGGCGCCGUCUGGCUCUAAGCGUAGUAAUUCUUCUCGCUAUGGAGUCCUGGUGGAUGCUUGCCAUCAACCCCCAAUUUUUCUAUGGUUGACCUCGGAUCAGGUAGGGAUACCCGCUGAACUUAAGCAUAUAAUAAGCGGAGGA
RNAcentral lists this unclassified non-coding RNA (328 nucleotides) under soil metagenome. Its description in RNAcentral is "partial contains 5.8S ribosomal RNA, internal transcribed spacer 2, and large subunit ribosomal RNA". The stretch from base 1 to 120 matches the Rfam family "5.8S ribosomal RNA", at positions 35 to 154 of the family's 154-position model. The record is from RNAcentral.